RNAcentral lists this ribosomal RNA (301 nucleotides) under uncultured bacterium. RNAcentral describes it as "partial 16S ribosomal RNA". It matches the Rfam family "Bacterial small subunit ribosomal RNA", at positions 509 to 807 of the family's 1533-position model. The record is from RNAcentral.
CAGUAGCCGCGGGAAUACGUAGGGUGCGAGCGUUGUCCAGAAUUACUGGGCGUAAAGAGCUCGUAGGCGGUUUGUCACGUCGUCUGUGAAAUCCUAGGGCUUAACCCUGGACGUGCAGGCGAUACGGGCUGACUUGAGUACUACAGGGGAGACUGGAAUUUCUGGUGUAGCGGUGGAAUGCACAGAUAUCAGGAAGAACACCGAUGGCGAAGGCAGGUCUCUGGGUAGUAACUGACGCUGAGGAGCGAAAGCAUGGGUAGCGAACAGGAUUAGAUACCCGUGUAGUCCCUGUCUCUUAUAC